AUGAGCUGCUCCAUGAACUUCCGGGUGCUAGCUGGUUCUCCAAACUGGAUCUCCGUGUCGGGUACCAUCAAAUUAGAUUGGCAGAGGGGGAAGAGUACAAAACCGCAUCACCCUGGCCAUUAUGAAUACAAGGUGCCGCCUUUUAGAGUAGCUGGGGGUCCGGCUACAUUUAAGGGAGCCAUGAACCACACUCUGAAACCAACAGCCGAGUUCUUGAUCAAAACAGAUCAACAUAGUUUGGUGCAUCUCGAAGACCAACGGUUACAUACCCCAUGGCAACAAAAGGCAUUCACCAAGUUAUUGCGUCUUCGCUACAGAUUGUGCUACCAGAAAGGAGUUGACAAUGGAGCUUCCAACGCUCUCUCUCGGUGCCCAUUCACUGACGUAGAUACCUUGUAUGCAAUCUCACCUUGCCAUCCAGAGUGGAUCAAUGAGGUGAAAGCAACUUACGCCCAGGAAGCGGCUACCCAGAAGAUCAUUGAUGAUUUGUGCAAGGGUCCUCAAUCCAACCAGCACUACUCCCUAUUGGAUGGCAUCUUGGGCUAUCAAAGAAGAGUUUGGAAUGGGCGAAACAAUCAAAUGCAGCAACAAAUGUUACUUGCGGGGCACCAAUCGGCAAUAGGGGACACUCCAGAGCACCGGCCACUUAUCAGCGUCUGA
Molecule: ribosomal RNA, 660 nt
Filed under: Triticum aestivum (bread wheat)
Lineage: Eukaryota; Viridiplantae; Streptophyta; Magnoliopsida; Poales; Poaceae
Description: partial small subunit ribosomal RNA
Source: RNAcentral